CUCUCCUCUCAAUCUACCUUCAGGUACUUAUGUAUGAACUGGACACAGUCGAAGUUUCCGAAGUCUAUCCAAUUGGUUAUUUUGAUGCUCUUCUCUACUAUUGCUUGGAGAUGUUGGAGGAAGCGUAAUGCUAGACUCUUUCUGAACAGAGCCACCUCGACGUGGGUAGUUGCAUCCGAUGCUUUGUCCCUCUUCAAAGAUUGGUCGAUCCUUUGCAACUCCAACCAGCUGAAGAACUUUGAUGCAAUCCGAUCAAAGAUCAAGCGAGUUACCCCCUCGCCAAAUUCCUAAUCCCACUACCUUGCUCCCCCAUCUGUUUUAUUGUAUUACUCCCUUAUCUCAUCCCUUCGUCUCCCUGUUGUCUUGUUCUAUACUAUGCGGCGAGCUGUAACAUUCUGAGUCUGUAGACUCUACUAGCUUUUUCUAUGUUGCAAUUUCAAUAAAUCUUUUUUGGUGGCCUUAGCCUCCAACUUUCAUCAAAAAAAAAAAAAUUCCGUUCAGGUUUGGGGGUAACUAUUCUCUGUCCAUUAUGGAAAGGGGUUUAAACUCUCUUAUUAUCUGAUUACCUCACACCUCUGGAAGCAUUAAAGUUAACUUUGAUGCAGUCGUCAAUGUGGAUAAGGUAUCAACUGGGUUUAUCAUUAGAAAUUCAGUGGAUGAGCUUAUCAAAGCUGAAGGUAAAUAGUUGCCCUGUUUCUUGGUACACCAAGGUGAGCUUACGGCAACUUGGAUGGGUCUCAGAGUAGUUGUUGUGGAUCUCAACGCAUGUAACAUUUGUUUGGAGGA
This 786-nucleotide long non-coding RNA is filed under the name Elaeis guineensis (African oil palm). RNAcentral's name for it is "long non-coding RNA (EGUI_LNC025535)". The record is from RNAcentral. Lineage: Eukaryota; Viridiplantae; Streptophyta; Magnoliopsida; Arecales; Arecaceae.